GAUGAAGAACGCAGCGAAAUGCGAUACUUGGUGUGAAUUGCAGAAUCCCGUGAACCAUCGAGUCUUUGAACGCAAGUUGCGCCCGAAGCCAUUAGGCCGAGGGCACGCCUGCCUGGGCGUCACACGUCGUUGCCCCCCCGUCUACUCCUUCGGGAUUGCGGGGGGCGGAUGAUGGCCUCCCGUGCGCCUCGUCGCGCGGUUGGCAUAAAUGCCAAGUCCUCGGCGACACACGCCACGACAAUCGGUGGUUGCGAAACCUCGGUUGCCCGUCGUGUGCGGUCGUCGCGCAUCGAGGGCUCGAAAAAAUUGCCGGGCUCCGGCUCGGCUUUCAACGCGACCCCAGGUCAGGCGGGGUUACCCGCUGAAUUUAAGCAUAUCAAUAAGCGGAGGA
Molecule: unclassified non-coding RNA, 391 nt
Filed under: soil metagenome
Description: partial contains 5.8S ribosomal RNA, internal transcribed spacer 2, and large subunit ribosomal RNA
Rfam family: 5.8S ribosomal RNA (bases 1-122)
Source: RNAcentral